RNAcentral lists this ribosomal RNA (253 nucleotides) under uncultured bacterium. RNAcentral describes it as "partial 16S ribosomal RNA". It matches the Rfam family "Bacterial small subunit ribosomal RNA", at positions 524 to 776 of the family's 1533-position model. The record is from RNAcentral.
UACAGAGGGUGCAAGCGUUAAUCGGAAUUACUGGGCGUAAAGAGUGCGUAGGUGGUUAAUUAAGUUAGGUGUGAAAUCCCAGGGCUUAACCUUGGAAUGGCAUUUAAAACUGGUUGGCUAGAGUUCAGGAGAGGAAAGUGGAAUUUCCGGUGUAGCGGUGAAAUGCGUAGAUAUCGGAAGGAACAUCAGUGGCGAAGGCGACUUUCUGGAAUGAUACUGACACUGAGGUACGAUAGCGUGGGUAGCGAACAGG